Molecule: non-coding RNA, 1936 nt
Organism: Oryctolagus cuniculus (rabbit)
Lineage: Eukaryota; Metazoa; Chordata; Mammalia; Lagomorpha; Leporidae
Source: RefSeq, a predicted model, not a curated record
GAAAUUCAUUAUACUUAGAGAGAUUUAGCCAAAGUCACCAUCAAUACAUUAAAAUGGAGUACUAAAAAUAUUCAAAUAGCUCAAGAAACAAAUAGAGUAACAAAAAGCAGCGGAAAAUGGAAAACAUAAUAAUCAAUGUUCAAAUAUAUAAACAUAACAGUAAAUGUAAAUGAAUAAACACAAAUGAAAAGAAGUGUUGCCAUAUUGCAUUAAAAUGAUCCCAGGUUCACUCUUUCCAUGAGAUACAAAUUGCCAAUAUCAGGGAUUAAAGAGUGUAUACUAGUAUGGCUUGAGUAGGGUUUGUUCCCCCAAAACUCAUGCAGUUGUUCCAACUCUGCUGUCUUAGUGUUAAUUACUGGUAAGUGUGGAGACUUGACCUAAGGAUGGCAUCUGAGAGGUGGGGCCCCUGGGAGGUCUGUGCGUGAUUUGGGGCCUGCCCUCGUGGCACGGUGCAAGGUGUGUCAGUUGAAGUUCAGCUUCCCGGUACAGCGUGUGACAGUGCUUCUGCACCCACCACAACCAGCUUCCACCUGACACCAGACUCCGGGGCCAGCAGACCCUGUAACUUCCACUGUGACUGGCCUUCCCCAAAAGCUCCUCUCAGGCAUUUUAAGGAAGUACAGAAAAGCAGACUAAUAGAACUGCUACAGUUUCCACAGACAUUGAAGAAUAAUCAGAUGCAUAAAUUUUAAAACUUAGAUCAAAUGGAUUGACUACUCAGAAAGGAUAAGCUAAAAAGGAACAUAAAUAAACCAACCAACCAUCUAAGGUGCAAUAGCCUGAGUUGCUUUAACUCAGUUGAAUUUCUAUUUAAAAUUUUAAAAAGAAUUAUUUGAGAGGCAGCGUUAGAGACAGAGGGAGAAACAGAGAGAAAAAGAGGUCUUCCAUCCUCUGGCCACAACAGACGGAGCUGGGCCAGUCUGAAGCCAGGAUCCUGGAGCUUUUUCUGGGUCUCCCACGUGGUACUUGGGCCAUCCUCCACUGCUUUCCCAGGCCUUCAACAGGGAGUUGGAUAUGAAUGGGGCAGCCAGGACACCAACCAGCGCUCACAUGGGAUGCAGCACCCCCUGCAGGGGGAUGCUUAACCUACUAUACCACAGAGCCAAACCCUAAUUUUUUUUCCCAUAAGGAAAAUCUUCAGGUUUUCUGUCAACUUCAGCAAACAUUUAAAGGAAUAACAAAUUUUCAUAAUCUCCUCCAUAAAAGAGAAGAGGAGUUUGUGAGUUUCACACCACUCUGUUACAUCACCACAAACUUAGCAGUGGCUUCAGACAGCAGCCCUAUUAUUGCCUUGUGGUUUCUGCAGAUCCCAAGUUCUGCUGGGUUCAUGAUUCAGUCUCACCAGGAUGAAAUCAAGGGGUCACGCUAUGUCUCUGAAGAUCAGUGUCCUUUCCUCAUUUCCUGAUGUUGACAGAACGCAGUUUCUGUGGAUCCUCAAGAUCAUCUGACAGUAUCUCAGAGAGAGGAUCUUCCAUCUGCUGAUUCAUACCCCAAAUGCCUGCAACAGCUGGGACCAGACCAGGCUGGGAAUCUAUCCAGGUGUCUCACAUGGGUGGCAGGAAAUCAACUACCUACGCCAUCAUCUGCUGGCUCCAGAGGUUCACACGAGCAGAAAGCAAAGGAGUUGGAUUCCUAACCAGGACAAAGCUCCAUUCUGAGAAAAAUUUGAUGAAGAAUGGACUCCCAGGGGAACUGGACAGGGACAACAGAUGCAGAGAAAGUACUAAAUAAAAAGAGAAGAAAACAGGCAAGAAGACUCAGAAGUAAGUCAUAUGUACUUAAAACUUAUCAGAAAAAGGAAAAUCUAGAAUUAGGAAAUUGGAGAAAAAUAUUACCAUUUGUGCCACCUAAAAAUUUAGGUAAUUUUUUUUUUAAUUUGACAGAGUUAUAGAGAGAGAGGCAGAGAGAAAGGUCUUCCUUCCAUUGGUUCACUCCC